Mangifera indica (mango) is the source of this 2220-nucleotide long non-coding RNA. RefSeq lists it as uncharacterized. The record is from RefSeq and is a predicted model, not a curated record. Lineage: Eukaryota; Viridiplantae; Streptophyta; Magnoliopsida; Sapindales; Anacardiaceae. The transcript has 2 exons.
GAAAAGUUAGUUUUCCCAUGUUACGGUUGGCAAUGCAUUUUCCAACAAUAAAAUCCACUCCGACCGUCUAGGAGACUACCUGAAAUUCAAAAAAAUAAAAAAUGGAAAUUCGCAACAAAAAAUUCAAAACCCAAAAACACCCAAUUGAAACCAAAUUCGUCUCUGAUCUACCCGGGUGUCCUUCAAAGUCUCUCAAAAAGAUUUUGUAAAGUCGAAACGCGGAAUCUAAUCCUGCUGCUACCAGGGGGUGAUGAUGAGAGAGAGGCGACUUUGUUGGAUGAAGAAUCAGACUGCUUCUGUUCUCAGUCUUACACGCAGGUUGCUGGUCUCAUAGAAGAGUACCAGAGUGGAUUCCGUCACCCGAAAAUGAGUUGUUUUUUCAGUUACCUUGGCAGGGGAAAAAUAUAAUAACAGAGAGAAAUGGUCCUACGUACAUUUCCUGUUCGGUUCAAGUUGCAAAUAUAUAUCUUUUUGAAAGCAAGAUUAAGUCGGAAUGAUGAGCAUCUCUUCAUACAUGAUUUUCACAUGCCGUUUUAUCAUAAUUAACUAGCUCAAAGUAAUGAGAACGUAUGAAGAAACAAUAAUUCAAUGGCAGACAUACACUGACAUGAAUAAAAAAGCAGCUUUAUUCAUGUGGCAGACAAAAAAAAAGCUAGACUUGAAAUAGCCAUUCAUGGUAGGACUUCUUAUUUGAAGAUAUGGUCUUGCAGAAGUUCCACUUGAACCAUUUCUAUUCGCACAAAAUUACUUAAAAUGUGAUUUUCAAUUAUUAUACUGUUGUGAUUAGGCAUGAGCAGGUGAAAUUAGAACCAUUGGGUACUAGGCAUUGCGGUUCCUGUUCCUAUCCAAAACUUGUUUUGUCGUAGUUAGUUUCCGAAUUUUAUGGAACUAAGAUUGUGUAGACAAGUUUUAAUUCUACUACUAUAAAGAAUCGGAACCAACUCAAUAAUAGGAUCCAGAAUCAAUUUUAGGGUUUCUGAUAGGGGUUAAAAUAACUAUGGUGAUUAUAGACAUUUAUGAAACUUUGAAGGGGAUUUUAUAUAACAAAGAUAGUUCAAAUUUAGAUUUUAGAAUUGUUUGCAAUAUCUUGUCAAUUUAUGGUGCCAUUGUAAAAAUCUAUAAAUUUGUUUGCUGCUCUGGUGCUCCAUACGCUUCAUGCUGCUGCUUCUCUCAGUCUUAAAUGUCGCCGUCGGUUCUCAAAAAUACCCCAACAAUGUAGUAUUCUUGAUGAUUUUGACCACCUUCUUCAAGAAUGCACGAAAACUCACCUACUCAAGCAAGUGCACGCCGCACGCCGCACGCCGCACGCGUAAGUCAUUGUGAAUGGCUCCAGUAACUUUGCUUCAUGGCUGCUGCAGUCUCUUCUUUAUUCUCGUGAGCUUCUUUUUGAGUCGCAAAAGGUUUUCCAAACAACCCCAGUUCGUUGUUUGUCGUCUUCUUUGUUCUUGUAAAUUUUUCGAGGAAAAGGUGACUUCAAAGUGGUGCCUUUGUACAGAACUCUGCAGUUUUCACAAAGUAGUGCCUUCGUAUAUAUCCACAAACAAGUGCAUGCGUGUACGUCAAUAUGCUAAAACUUCAGUUUCUCUUAUUCCAUCUGAAGGAUUUACCCAGGAAGUUGACAAUGAAAAUGAAACUGAUGGUCCACCUGCGGCUACAACUUUCUUCACGCGUAGGUAUACGAUCGCUAUUCAUACUGAAAUAUCUAACUUAUUUUCAAAUUUAACAUUACAUAAAUGAAGUGUUUUGUCUUUUCAUUUCUUAUUGAUCAUAUCGUUGAUUAGUCUUUCAAAGUUCACUUUCAAAAUGACAUCAAUUUUGGAAAUUAAUAAUAGCAGAUUUUCCAUAGAUGAGAUUCCAUGCAUCUGCUUCAGUCUUACUCUUUUGUUUUAUGGUCCAAGAUUCUUCAAAGACUUUGAAGGUAGAAAAUACGCAAAACUAUAGGCCAAAAGAGAAGUCUAUAGAAUUAGCCACAAGUGUAAACAAGUGAGUCAAUUUUGUGAUUUCACUUUGAUUAGUGCAGACUGCAGACAAAACAUGCGUGUCAAGAAAAAAAAAAAUUUAAAUUAUCCUGUAAAAUGAAGGGUUAUGCAGACCAUAUCUCAUAAUUUUGAUUCCUAUUUGAUGACUUCCUAGAAUUUAACUUUUGAUGUAAGUUUGAGGGCAUGGAAUGAUGUAAUGCAUAUUGAAAGUAAAGUCCAUCGUACAGGUUCUGGCUCCAAA